This 3013-nucleotide long non-coding RNA is filed under the name Capsicum annuum. RNAcentral's name for it is "long non-coding RNA (CANN_LNC017617)". Lineage: Eukaryota; Viridiplantae; Streptophyta; Magnoliopsida; Solanales; Solanaceae. The record is from RNAcentral.
UCAGCUUCUCCCAGAUAACCUCAUUCCUAACUCGAUCCCCUCUAGUAAAUCCACACAUCCAACGCAGCAUUCUCAUUUUCACCACCUUCAAUUUUUUAAAUAUGAGCGUUCUUGAUUGGCCAACACUCCACUCCAUACAGCAUGACCGAACGGACUGUCACUCUGUAGAAUUUUUCUUUUAAGCUUAAGGGGCACCUUCUUACCACACAACACAAAGAAAAUAAUAUAUAAAGGGGGAAGAAGGAGAAUAAAUAAAUGAUUUGGGCUUAUCACCCUAUCCUAGUCUAAUUGGACUUUCAGCCCAACUUUACCUGUCCUAAUCUAGAUAUUGAGCUUUGACCCAUAACCUGUCCUAACUAUUUUUUUGAACCUUUGGCUCAAAUUUCACUUCACCUGUAUUAGUUUACAACUUUGGAUCCAAGGCCCAAAUGAAUAAAUAAUGAAAGGAAGAAAUAAAUAAAUAAUUAAAAAAAAAACAAUAAAUGAAUAAAAUAAAAAAAAUGAGACUUCUGAGUCUCUUUGCCACUUCAAAGACAGGACUUUAGUCCAUUCUUCUUCUUUGGACUCCUUGUAUUCACGCGCUAUGUAAUAGACUCUAAACUCUCUUUCGGGUUUGACUCAAAAGAUGGGCCUUAUUGGCCCAUUAGAGAAUGCAAAGUGUCGGUUUGGACUCCAACGAAUUCACAUGCAAAGGAAGAAAGAAAGGAAAUUAAUACGUAUCCAAAGUAUGAAAUGCUACGGGGAUAAACAAGUCGAUAGAUGAAAAGACAACUAUAGUAAUCCAAAAUAAAAUAGAAGGCAGUAGGUCCGGAUGUAGAAAUGCUAAGGCAAAUGAGCAUGCUCAAUAUAGUAAAGUCAUGCAAUUGGCUAUCAUCAAGAUAAUACAACAUAUUCAACAUAUUCCCACAAAGUGGAGUAUAGGGAGAGAUAAAUGUAUAUAGUCCAUACCACUACUUUAGACGAAGUAGAGAGGCUACUUCCCACAUACCCCGGCUCAGAAUAAAAACACUGCGAAUCAAAUCACGGGAGCCCAAAUAAAGAGACCAAUAAAAUAAUAAUAAUAAAGAUGAAAUAAAAAAAAGAACAUGAAAAUCUAGACUAGAAAAAUGUCACAAAUGUUACAGCUUUUUGAACGUAGAAAAAACAAGCAUUGAGUCAAAAAGAAAAAUUAUGGCUAAAUUAUACUGGAAAGAUCACAAGGCUACGAUUUUCAUCAAAACAAACUAACCAUCAAAUCAUGAAUCAAACCAACUAAAAAAAAGAAAUAGUAAACUUACACAAUAUGCUAGAAAACUAUAAUCUUUCAACAAACCGAAACAGCAAAACGAAUCAAAACAGUAAGGCUAAGCCAACUGACGAGGCAUGAAAAGUUUGAGUCCUAACUGAAUCUGGCAAGAUAUGCUCACCCAAGUUAGAGUGAGAGAUAUUGAAUCAAAAUCAUGAGUCAAACCAUGCUAAACAUCAUUACACUACCCAGACGAUGAGUUAAAGAACUUCAACGAAUAAUGUUUUAGCUAAAACAGUAAGCUAGGUACUGAGAUGAACAUACUAACAUAAUCCUAAGCUACCACAAGCAAUUUCAGAUGCAAAAUUGAGGAUUGAAAAUUACAGCAUGCAAGGUUUGUCGACAAACAGGAUUUAGUGACAAAACAAAAAUAAAAAUUGAAUCUUGUAAUGCUAAACUGAGGCUAACAGACUAAGGGGGCUAGAAUUAAAGUGAGGAAAGUAUUCAACUGCAAAAAGUAAUCGAACCACAUGAACACCAGCGAAAGACGAAAGAUUAAUGCUAAAACAACAAAUUGAAUUUAAACCCGCACUGAAACCAGAACCACAGUUCAAUAUAUCAGCCAACGUUUAACAAAAAGUCCUAUAGCUUUUCAAAGCCUAUACAACAAUACAAUCCCAACACUUACUACUAAGAUCACCAAAAAAUGGCUUUAAACACGAAAAAGGAAGAAGAAGAAGAAGAAGAAGAGAUCGACUGGCAGUGAAGAGGUAUGUUUACAGGUAAGAGGCAACUAUCUUUUAAUCAUCUGGAUAAUAAUACAAGCGAUCAGGAUAUGCAGAACCGUCUAAAAACUAAAAAAAAGUUUUUAGUUGAUUCGAAUAUAGAAAAAAAAAGUUCUGGUAUUGAAGCAGUACAUAAAUCAUGGCAUAUAGUCAUCUGAAAAUUCAAACAUAUAGCAGCUCAAGGAGAUACACGUACUUAUCUUAAACAGAACCAUGAACAUAAAGGUAUUUGAAACAUGGAUCAUACCAAUAUACACACAAAAGCACACCCCAGCGUAUCCUCUCAAGUUGAUAAAUCAAAACAACUCUUUUAAUCUUCAUCUAAACCAAGUUGAAACUAGACAGUAUUCAAGUUCCCGAUUCAUGUUAUGGACUUGCAGAUAACUAAAAUCGUCAUCAAUCAUGAGUCAAUAUUCAAAGUAAUUGAUAUCGAGACUUGCUACGUGAACACUGAUUCAGAAAAAAUAGCAUAACAACAACGAUCACAAAUAAAUUCUAAGGCCAUCACGACCAUCUAUAGGGAACAAUUUCCAGCCUCGUUCAUGAUUACCACUAAACGACCAUUACUACAAAGAAAGAGAUGAAGAAGGAAACCAUAAAAUUAAAUGGGAAAAGAAUGUAUUUACCUCUUGAGGCUGGAGAUAAGAUUUUCCAGCCUAUAAUUUGUACAAAAUUUAGCUUUUCUUGAAUAAAUUUGAAAAAAAUUGACCAAUAGAAAUUGGGGGAAAAGAAUAAUUCCCAAAGAACCAAUGAAAUUCACUCACAUAGGUACGGAUUCGUAUGAAUCUAACCGUUUGAGAGGCCACCUUAACGUUAUCUAGAAGAUUCCACUAUUUUGGGAAGCAAAUAGAGCAAACGAAGGCGGGAAAGGAGUUUUCAGACCACUGCUGAGUUGUUCGAGUUGGUUCGGGCAUGGGUCGCCGCUGGUCGAGGCAAAAUGGGGUCAAAACCUAAGUCGCGGUUUUUGGUUGUUGUUAUCGCGACGGUGUUUGUUGUAUUGUUG